This 620-nucleotide ribosomal RNA is filed under the name uncultured bacterium. Its description in RNAcentral is "bacterial SSU rRNA". It matches the Rfam family "Bacterial small subunit ribosomal RNA", at positions 170 to 804 of the family's 1533-position model. The record is from RNAcentral.
UUCACAUGUUCACAUGAUUAAAGGUAUUCCGGUAGACGAUGGGGAUGCGUUCCAUUAGAUAGUAGGCGGGGUAACGGCCCACCUAGUCUUCGAUGGAUAGGGGUUCUGAGAGGAAGGUCCCCCACAUUGGAACUGAGACACGGUCCAAACUCCUACGGGAGGCAGCAGUGAGGAAUAUUGGUCAAUGGGCGAGAGCCUGAACCAGCCAAGUAGCGUGAAGGAUGACUGCCCUAUGGGUUGUAAACUUCUUUUAUAAAGGAAUAAAGUCGGGUAUGUAUACCCGUUUGCAUGUACUUUAUGCAUAAGGAUCGGCUAACUCCGUGCCAGCAGCCGCGGUAAUACGGAGGAUCCGAGCGUUAUCCGGAUUUAUUGGGUUUAAAGGGAGCGUAGAUGGAUGUUUAAGUCAGUUGUGAAAGUUUGCGGCUCAACCGUAAAAUUGCAGUUGAUACUGGAUAUCUUGAGUGCAGUUGAGGCAGGCGGAAUUCGUGGUGUAGCGGUGAAAUGCUUAGAUAUCACGACGAACUCCGAUUGCGAAGGCAGCCUGCUAAGCUGCAACUGACAUUGAGGCUCGAAAGUGUGGGUAUCAAACAGGAUUAGAUACCCUGGUAGUCCACACGGUA